GGCUGGCAAGUGGCAGAGCCGGAGCCAGAAUGCAGGAUCCGGGCGUCUGGUCUGCAGUAUCUUCCUGACAGCUCCGUUGAGGGAGGGAGCCUGACGUUUUCAGCAGUGGCCAGUCACCAUCCCCAUCUCCAGCUUAAUUUCCAUUCGGAUUUCUCCUUGUGACUAGGACUCAAAGGAUCCCUCAGAGCCAAAGUCCCAUGGAAACUGAAGCUCCCAGAAGCAGCCAUGAAGAGCAUCUCUAGGGUCUUUCCUUACUCGUGAGUAAACAGAAGGCAGAGUUCUGGCAGAAUGUGUGCACAUCUAGAACUGAAAUAAAGACAGAUUAAGUGAAAGAGAUUGACACCUGCUCUGAAUAAUGACCCGGAAUAACAGUGCUGUGUCAGCACACUCCAAAAUUUUAGUCAUUUCCUCAAGAUCAAUGGGAAGAGAAAUAAGCCGUAUUCUUUCAAAGUAGGGUGGAAGAUAAUUUUGAUGAAGACUUCCA
Leopardus geoffroyi (Geoffroy's cat) is the source of this 484-nucleotide long non-coding RNA. RefSeq lists it as uncharacterized. The transcript is spliced from 5 exons. NCBI's taxonomy places the organism in Eukaryota, Metazoa, Chordata, Mammalia, Carnivora, Felidae. The record is from RefSeq and is a predicted model, not a curated record.